GCGACCUCAGAUCAGACGAGAACACCCACUGAGUUUAAGCAUAUAAUUAAGCGGAGGAAAAGAAUCUUACAAGGAUUUCCCUAGUAACGGCGAGCGAACGGGAAGAGCCCAGUAUCAAAAUCGGGUGCCAGCAUUGCCUGAAUUGUAGUCUGUAGAAGCGUCCUCAGCGGUAGACCUGGGCCAAAUCCCUUGGAAGGGGGCCCCUGAGAGGGUGAUUUCUCCGUCAGGCCGGGACCCUGCCGCAUCACGAGGCAUUGUCGACGAGUCAGGGUGUUUGGGAAUGCAGCCCUAAUUGGGUGGUAAAUUCCAUCCAAGGCUAAAUACGAGCAAGAGACCGAUAACAAAUAAGUACCGCAAGGGAAAGAUGAAAAAGACUUUGAAAAGAGAGUUAAGAGUGCUUGAAAUUGUCGGGAGGGAAGUGGAUGGAGGUUGUCGAUGCGUCUCGGUCGGCUGUGGAACGGCUCAGGCUAGUCUGCCGCUCAACUUGAGGUGCAAACCAACACAAGCUGCUACAUCGUCACAAGCGCAGCUGGCUUACUACCUGUUGAUUUGUUGUAGCGAUGGUCAACGAACGAAGCGUGUACCCUUGUGGCGGGUCGUGUGCACCUGCACGCUCAUGGUGUUGGUUGGUGGGCUUUCCAUUCGACCCAUCUUGAAACACCGACCAAGGAGUCUAACAUGUGUGCGAGUCGGUGAGUUUGAAAACCUCCAAGGCGCAAGGAAGCUGACGGGCGAGAUCCCCUCUCUGGGGGGUUGCAUCGUCAACCGAACUUGAGCUUAGCGAAGGGUUCGAGUGCGAGCACACCUGUUGGGACCCGAAAGAUGGUGAACUAUGCUUGAGCAGGGGAAACUCUAGCGGAGGCUCGUAGCGAUACUGAUGUGCAAAUCGUUCGUCUAACUUGGGUAUAGGGGCGAAAGGCUAAUCGAACCAUCUAGUAACUGGUUUCCUCCAAAGUUUCCCUUGAGCUGGAGCUCACACACGAGUUUUAUCGGGUAAAGCAAAUGAUUAGAGGCAUCGAGGGCGUAACGCCCUCAACCUAUUGUCAAACUUUAAAUAGGUAAGAGGGUGUGGCUGGUCCAUUGAGCCAUGCCAUGGAAUCGAGAGCUCCAAGUGAGCCAUUUUUGGUAAGCAGAACUGGCGAUGCAAGAUGAACCGAAAGGUUGUUGGUUGUUUAAGACAACAAGGCAGUGGUCAUGGAAGUCGAAAUCCGCUAAGGAGUGUGUAACAACUCACCUGCCGAAUCAACUAGCCCCGAAAAUGGAUGGCGCUGAAGCACGCAACCUAUCCUCGACCGUCGGAGCAAUUUUCGAGCUCCGAUGAGUAGGAGGACGCAGGGGUCGUUGAGAAACCUCGGGUGUGAGCUUGGGUGGAUCGGCGCCCAGUGCAGAUCUUGGUGGUAAUAGCAAAUAUUCAAAUGAGAACUUUGAAGACUGAAGUGGGGAAGGUUCCAUGUGAACAGCACUUGGACAUGGUUUAGUUGAUCCUAAAAGAUGGGGAAGCCUUGUAUCAAGGGUGCACUCUGCACGAGCAUCGAAAGGGAAUCGAGUUAAGAUUCCCGAACCGGGACAUGGCGGCGGGCGGCAACAUUAGCAAAUUCGGAGACGUCGUCGAGGGCCCCGGGAAGAGUUAUCUUUUCAUUUUAAGAGCUUGCCCACCCUGGAAUCGGUUCACCCAGAGAUAGGGUCCAGCAGCUGGAAAAGCACCACACAUCUUGCGGUGUCUGGUGCGCCCUCGGCGACACUUGAAAAUCUGGAGGACCGAGUACUGUUCAUGCCCAGUCGUACUAAUAACCGCAUCAGGUCUCCAAGGUGAACAGCGUUUGGUCAAUAGAACAAUGUAGGUAAGCGAAGUCGGCAAAAAGAACCCGUAACUUCAGGAAAAGGAUUGGCUCUGAGGGUUCGGCCUAGGGGUUUGCACCCUCAACUCGUGGGUUGUAGGCAAUCUGCCCAAGCUCCUCUCGAUGCGAGGGCGAGCAAUCGCAUGCUGAUUGGGCUAUGGGCGUAGAAUGCCCCCUACCGGGGGCUUUUCCCUAGGCGGCGAACAAUCGAUUCAAAACUGGUACAGACAAGGGGAAUCUGACUGUUUAAUUAAAACAAAGCAUUGCGAUGGUCCCUAUGGAUGCUGAGGCAAUGUGAUUUCUACCCAAUGCUCUGAAUGUCAAAGUAAAGAAAUUCAACCAAGCGAGGGUAAACGACAGGAAUAACUAUGACUCUCUUAAGGUAGCCAAAUGCCUCGCCAUCUAAUUAGUGACAUGCAUGAAUGGAUUAAUGAGAUUCCCAUUGUCUCUAUCUACUAUCUAGUGAAACCACAUCCAAGGGAAUGGGCUUGGUAGAAUUAGCGGGGAAAGAAGACCUUGUUGAGCUUGACUCUAGUCCGACUUUGUGAAAUGACUUGAGAGGUGUAGAAUAAGUGGGAGCCGAUUUCGGCCCAAGUGAAAGACCACUACUUUUAACGUUAUUUUACUUAUCCCGUGGGGCAUAGACGAGGCACUCCCCCUAUUUUUGGCCUUAAGGCACGUUUCAACAGGUCGAUCCAAGUGGAAGACAUUGUCAGGUGGGGAGUUUGGUUGGGGUGGCACAUCUGUUAAAAGAUAACGCAAGUGUCCUAAGAUGAGCUCAACGAGAACAGAAAUCUCAUCUGGAACAAAAGGGUAAAAGCUCAUUUGAUUUUGAUUUUCAAUACGAAUACAAACAGUGAAAGCAUGGCCUAUCGAUCCUUUAGAUUUUCGGAGUUUGAGGCUAGAGGUGUCAAAAAAGUUACCACAUGGAUAAUUGGCUUGUGGCAGCCAAGCGUUCAUAGCGACGUUGCUUUUUUAUCCUUCAAUGCCUUCUCUUCCUAUCGUUUUGAAGCAAAAUUCACCAAGUGUUGGAUUGUUCACCCACAAUAGGGAACGUGAGCUGGGUUUAGAACAUCGUGAGAUAGGUUAGUUUUACCCUACUAAUGAACCGCAUUGCAAUAGUAAUUCAACUUAGUACCAGAGGAAUCGUUGAUUCACACAAUUGGUCAUCGCGCUUGGUUGAAAAGCUAGUGGCGUGAACCUACCAUGUGUCGGAUUAUGACUCAACACCUCUAAGUCAGAAUCCACGCCAAAAGCGGUGCAUGUCACUCUUCGACUGUAUCUCGACCCACAAUAGGGACGCCACUUUGUCGCCCCUAGGGGCCCGUGUCAUUUGCAAACCACGAUCAUGAAGCAUCUUGGUUGGGGCAGCUUUGAAGUCAAUUCCAAACGAUCGUUAAGAAGAAUCCUUU
RNAcentral lists this ribosomal RNA (3250 nucleotides) under Pinus taeda (loblolly pine). Its description in RNAcentral is "eukaryotic LSU rRNA". It matches the Rfam family "Eukaryotic large subunit ribosomal RNA". The record is from RNAcentral. Lineage: Eukaryota; Viridiplantae; Streptophyta; Pinopsida; Pinales; Pinaceae.